This is an RNA transcript of Trichoplusia ni (cabbage looper), 5499 nucleotides long. RefSeq lists it as uncharacterized. NCBI's taxonomy places the organism in Eukaryota, Metazoa, Arthropoda, Insecta, Lepidoptera, Noctuidae. The record is from RefSeq and is a predicted model, not a curated record. The transcript is spliced from 5 exons.
GUGCAGAAAAAGCAUCUGUGUAACUUUAGAUGGCUUUAGCAGUUUUCUCCUAUCAGUAAUCACUUGCCCUGCAUUUGAAAACACCCUUUCGCACGAAACCGAUGUAGCUUGGAUACAAAGCCUUUUCAGAACUAACUCAUAUAAAUGAGGAUAUAUAUGUUUCCGGCUGUGCCACCAUUUUAGAGGAUCCUCUUUUCUGUUCAAGGGUUCUUCAUGCAAAUAUUUGUCUAACUCCCUUAUCCCUGCAGCCACAGUGCUUUCCGGUCGAGUUGCAUGACUCAUCUCAACAUCAAAGACUUCCCAAAUGCUUGUUACCGUAACGUCAGUAGCUACUGCGGGUUGUUCCUGUUUAGGCCGAUCUUCUGCCAUAUUCGAGUCGUUUACCUGGACUCGCACUUCUGCAACUCUACGUCUGAAAUUCUCUAUGGCUCGCUGGUACGCUUCUGAAGUGCGGAAGGCUUUUUGUUUAAACCGUGGAUCUAGAAUUGCUGUGUCAGCAUACAAUGUGUUGGACUCUAAGUCAUGGAAACGAGCAAGAAGAUUGUUUUUUAAUUUAUUUAGCAUAACGGGGAUUUGAGGAAGUUGAUAGUUGUUUUGGGCUAGGCAAUUUACAACAUGCUUCGAUAAAAGCUUGGAAAAUAUCAAUACUUUUGACAGGCUCACAUGUUUUUCUGAGCUGACUUCCUGGGUGACAUCGUAGAAUGGCCUAAGAAUUGGUACGAUACUUUAAAUUAGCUCCCAAUCAGAUCUCUGGAGGCUGAGGUCGCUUCUUAUCAGAGCUAUAGUGCUGAUAACAGCAUCUUUAAUUUUUAAGAGGCGUUCUAACAUGCCAUAACAAGAGUUCCAACGCGUAGGACAUUCCUGCUUUAACUUUAAAAUUGUUAAAUUCAUUUGCUUUUGGGCGACUUCUAAUUUUGAUUGUGCCAGAGAGCUUCUUUUGAAAAAUUCCACUAUACAUUUCACUUUAGAAACUACCUCUGCAAUGGUUUUUAUGCCGUCCUGUACAAUUAAAUUUAAUAAAUGGGCGAAGCAGCCUACAAAUCGCCACUCCCCUAAUCUCACAGCUGAUAAAAUGUUUGGGGCGUUAUCACUCACUAUGCAACUAAUUUUGUUCGUUAUCUGCCAGUCUUGGAUAAUUUGUCUUAAAAAUGCAACCAAAUUGACACUGGUAUGCCUGUCAUUAUAGUCGAUACAGCCUAAUAAAAUAGAAUAGUGUUUUUAUUAAUAUAGUGCGCAGUAACUGCUAUAGCUUUGGUUAGCACUUGAUGUCCAUCCGUCAGUACAAAGGCACACCGCGUAUGCUUCUUUUAAAUUACGAAAACAAGAUUCAAAAACUUCUGUGUACGUUUUGGGGAUGAGUGUCUUUGAAAGGGUUUUUCUUGUUGGGAGUUGGUACCCCGGACAAUGAGAAACUAAUUCAAUGAGUGUUUUAAACUCUGGUUCGUCUACUAUUCUUAAUGAAUGGUGACCCUUGGUCACCAUGGCCACCACUUGCUUAUCAACUUGUUCCGUCUUUCGCGACGAUGGUGGUCGUCGAAUAAAGUUGGUAAUUGAUGGCACAUUAAGCGGUUGUCUAAAUGUGGUUGGCAAGUCUAAAUGUUGAUUUGGUGGUUUCAGUGCCGUCGCGUGGUGUUGGUGGUGAUACUGGUGAUGCAGAUUGUCGUUCAAUAUUCAACGAUACGGUCGUUUUGUGGUUAAAUGUCUUUUUAAAUUACCAAGAGAUCCACUUUUUGUGAUUAGUUUGGUCGAACAAUAAUUACAAAUGGCUUCGUUUAGCCCUUCCUUAAAAUGGAACCAUAAGUUGCUUCUUUUUGGUCGUCUUUGAGCCAUAAUUAAAUUGUACUUUUACUGUAACUUAAUCUGCUAAAAGUCACUUGUAACACACACACACACUUAAUAGUUAUUUUUUUUUAAUUUAUCAGCAAGCAAAUGGCGAACAAUUAAUAAAAUGUUUAUUUUAAAACAAUUAACAGGCACGAAAGUUAGUUAGGCUAGGUAACAUUCCAAAAUAAAAAGCGUCCAAGAUCGCAAAUACUUAUAAACAGCAAACAAAACACUUUACAAUAAUUUAUAACUUGCACGAUCAAAAAUGCGCGCCGAAAGAUCGGUUGUUUUGUUUGUACUCCGCAGUCGCACAUACUAUAGGUAUAAACUUCCAAUUUGCGAACACAGCUCUGUGUUUGGGCGAUAAGCUAAAAUAGACAUUAAGGCAUUGAAAUAACGCGCAUCUCAUCUCAUUCUUGCGAAUUCCGUCGAUCGGGUUCGGAUAGAAUCGUCAUUCGUCGGCUAUUCUCUCUCGUUCUCAUUCAUUCACAGACACAUCGAAUGAAAACGUAUAUCGUUUCUGUCAAACAAUCAGAACGACUGUUUCAUUUCUCGUUCGGGCGAUGUACGAGUUCGGAAAGAGCUAUUUGACCUAUUAGACCGGUUACAAGCCAGCGUUCGGAAACGUUUCUUCUAGUACAGUGCGAAGAUACGGCUCCUAUUCGUUCAUCGUUCACGAACUACACAAGACUAGAUACAAGGAAGGUACCACAAACACCCAGACCCGAGAUAAGAAAUAAGAGGAAAAACUAUAAAAAGACACCCAAAGAACCCAGAUUGGACAAUUUGGAGCAACUGUGGACAGACUUUAAAGAUGGCCACAAGUCUAUUAUACUAUAAGUGUGGAACAUCAUGAAGCCUACAGAAACAGGAAUCUUACUUUUCUAUAAAUGUCCAGGUCAGCAAAGUAAGGGUUACAUUAUUAUUCUUCUUUGAAAUGGACAUGUCAUCCAAUAACAUUUUUUUUUAUAUCAAGCAGUUGUCGGACCAUUUGGCAAUUUCAUGGACAUUAUGGCUCGAUGGGCUGGCAGUACAGAGGACAGCAGAAUAUUUCAGAUGUGUUUGUUGUGCAACAAAUACAUACAUUAACAACAUACUGGUUAUCUCUUUGGAGACAGUGGAUAUAAUCCUUGUUUAAGGUUCCUGCUAACACCUGUCGGUACUCCAACAACCCAUGCGGAAUAAACAUACAAUAGAGUGCAUGUAAAAACAGAAAUUAGGUGGAAAGAACCUUUUAGAAAUGGAAACGGCGGUUUAGGGGAUUGGGCAACAAAUUGACCACAAUGUCAAAUAUAAUUGUAGCAUAUGCUGCACUUUUUAAUAUGUCAUUGUCUACAAAUGAGAUGAUGACUUCAUACGAAGAAGAUAGUGAUAUCAAUGAAGAAGUCAUAUACAUAUAAUGCCACCAACAGUGAUGGGACUACCGAUGGGUUUGCUUUUAGAAACACACUUAUUAAUAAUUACUCUUGAUUUUAUAUUAGUUUUUCUAUCAAUAAACAACUAUUUAAAAAUAAUCAUCUUUUUAUUUAUAUAUAACACAAAAUCAAUAAAAUAAACACAAUAAAUAAAAAGAACUUUAGGGUCAUCUGCGGAGAUCUCUUUUGCUCUCACAAUGUUCUUAAUACAAAUAAUUUAACAAUGGUAAACUAUUAUCAUUAAUCACAACACAAAGUCAACAACUAUAAAAUAAACACAAAAAAUAAAAACGUGCUAUAGGCUCAUCUGCGGAGAUCUCUCUGCUGUAAAAAAUAUGUACAUUCAAAUUACUAAUAUCACUUGUGACGUUGUGCUGACUCGGUUUUAGCUUUCGCUUCUUUUAAUUUUUCAGUCAUAAUUUGUAUUUCUAUAUUGUGUUUUUCUUGCAGAAAUUUCACUUGGAGCUUGUGUUAUUCUUCUGCUCUUUUUUCUCUGCUGAUAUGUUCUGCUUUAAAAAAUUUGCACACGCUGUUUUUUUUUCCAUUUGAUGACAAUUCAGGGCUAAUUGCAUCAGAUUGAAUUUCGCUAUGUGAGAUAAUUGGAUUUUGUCCUGGAGGAUCAGAAACAGUGGGGGUUACAUUCGUUUCCAUGCUAGUAGUUUCCUGAACAGUUUCUACCUCUGAAGUUAAAUUAAAACGUCUUUAAUAUUCUUAGGGCCGCUUGCGCCAAAAGUUGAGUUAAAUUGGGUAACUCCGAGUUUAGUAACUCUGGGUUAAAGUGUUAAAAUUUUAACUCUAACAUUGUAUUGCGCCAGGGGAAAUUAACCUUUGGUUUUUCCUUCCUUCCAACCUUCUGGUUUUUUAUUUUACGCUGGUAACAAUACAAGGUAUUCAUUCUGUUUUAAUAUCCGGCAAAAUAUGAAUGAGCGAAUGAUGACCGAAAUAUGUAUACUUGUCUCUUUUGCACUACUGUAUUUUGUAUACCAUUAUCUCCUUACUUGAACUUGACACCGACUUUUCAUUUUGAUCGUUUGUUGUUUGAAAUUAAUCAUCGUCAAGACGUCAAUUUCACUUUGCGCGUUAGAAAGAUAACCUAAACGAAUUCUUUUAUUAAAACUGUUUAUUUUCUUCCUUCAGAGCACGGAUUUGACGCCGUGUAGUAAACGUGUGUUACAUAUAUAGUAUUACAUAUUUUAAUAGUCCGUGUUUUGGAGAGUGAUUUAAUUGUAAUAUUUGUGUUUGUGCGUAAAUCGCGAGCAUGGAAAAGAAAAACCGUUUACGAGGGCCUAAUUUCACAAAGAGUGACAGUAUAUUGCUGUGCGACGUAAUAAAUAACUUUAAACAUAUCAUAGAAUGUAAAAAGACCGACGGAGUCAAUCUUAUGGAAAAACAUAAAGCCUGGCAGGAAGUGGUAAAAAUAUACAAUUCGUCGACCACCGGUUCGCAACGAACUUUAGAAAGUUUACAACAGAAUUAUAAAAACUUAAAGAAAAAAAUUAAAAAAUCUGCUUCUGAUGCUAAAAUGAAUAUACCAGUUCUGGAAUUGGUCCACAGUGUUGAAGAGUUUGGCACCUCCUCUGAUGGCUGGGAAAAAAUUUCUCAUAACAUGGGGGUAUCAACAGAAACGUGCCAAGAAGUUUUGGCCAAUCUGAAGAAAGAGGCAGAUCGAAAAGAUGCAAUUUUAAAAAAGAAUGUUAUGGGUACAGGUGGAGGACCAGCACCAAAUUAUGAUCCAGACCCAUUGUUGGGAAAAGUUAAAGUUUUAGUUGGUCCUGCUAUCGAUGGCCUGUAUACAAUAUAUGAUGGUGACAGUUGUUUAAUGGCAUCCCAACCAGCAGCUGAGCCUGUUGAAGCCAUUAAUAUGCAAACAGAUACACAAGAAGACAAUCAGCACGGGGAAAAAAAUACCACAUUGCAACUUACUAACGUCACACAACAUGGAAUAUUUUACAAAUGACAGGGCAAACUUAAAAAAGAAGCCCCACUCUUUAUUAGUUUAGAACAUUAAAAAUAAAAAAAAGAAUCACUCAGAAAUGCCGCAGAAACAAUCUGUUUCAACAAAAUUUAUAAGUUUGGCAAGUGAAAAGCUAGAGUUGGUGGCUUUGCAAAAAGAAUUACUCCAAAUUCAAAUAAAAGAGGAAACAGAAAAGUCAGAGCAUGGUCGUUUACUCCGUGAUAUGGAAAAGGAAGAUGCAAAAAAAAAAUGAACAUAAUGAAUUAAUUAGAAAAUUUGAAUUAGAAAAUAUUAAGGUGCGUUUUU